CGCACCUUGCACCCUUUGGUAUUCCGAAGGGUAUGCCUGUUUGAGUGUCAUUUAACUCUUCAACCUCCAGGCUUUAUUGUCCUUUGGAGGCUUGGAUGUGGGAGUCUGCGGGCUGCGACAAGCGGUCGGCUCUCCUGAAAUGCAUUAGCUGGGGUUAAGGUCCUUGCCUAUUGGUGUGAUAAUUAUCAUCGCCGACGGGUCCAAGGCUUUGAAAGCCCUGCUUCCAAUCGUCUUCGGACAGCUUCACUAUUGAAGCUUCUAUUGACCAUUGUGACCUCAAAUCAGGUAGGAUUACCCGCUGAACUUAA
RNAcentral lists this unclassified non-coding RNA (308 nucleotides) under Agaricales sp. RNAcentral describes it as "partial contains 5.8S ribosomal RNA, internal transcribed spacer 2, and large subunit ribosomal RNA". The record is from RNAcentral. Lineage: Eukaryota; Fungi; Basidiomycota; Agaricomycetes; Agaricales.